UUGGGAGUCAGAACAUGGGUGAUAAGGUCCGUGUUCGAAAGGGAAACAGCCCAGACCACCAGCUAAGGUCCCAAAAUAUAUGUUAAGUGGAAAAGGAUGUGGCGUUGCCCAGACAACUAGGAUGUUGGCUUAGAAGCAGCCAUCAUUUAAAGAGUGCGUAAUAGCUCACUAGUCGAGUGACACUGCGCCGAAAAUGUACCGGGGCUAAACAUAUUACCGAAGCUGUGGAUUGUCCUUUGGACAAUGGUAGGAGAGCGUUCUAAGGGCGUUGAAGCAUGAUCGUAAGGACAUGUGGAGCGCUUAGAAGUGAGAAUGCCGGUGUGAGUAGCGAAAGACGGGUGAGAAUCCCGUCCACCGAUUGACUAAGGUUUCCAGAGGAAGGCUCGUCCGCUCUGGGUUAGUCGGGUCCUAAGCUGAGGCCGACAGGCGUAGGCGAUGGAUAACAGGUUGAUAUUCCUGUACCACCUAUAAUCGUUUUAAUCGAUGGGGGGACGCAGUAGGAUAGGCGAAGCGUGCGAUUGGAUUGCACGUCUAAGCAGUAAGGCUGAGUAUUAGGCAAAUCCGGUACUCGUUAAGGCUGAGCUGUGAUGGGGAGAAGACAUUGAGUCUUCGAGUCGUUGAUUUCACACUGCCGAGAAAAGCCUCUAGAUAGAAAAUAGGUGCCCGUACCGCAAACCGACACAGGUAGUCAAGAUGAGAAUUCUAAGGUGAGCGAGCGAACUCUCGUUAAGGAACUCGGCAAAAUGACCCCGUAACUUCGGGAGAAGGGGUGCUCUUUAGGGUUAACGCCCAGAAGAGCCGCAGUGAAUAGGCCCAAGCGACUGUUUAUCAAAAACACAGGUCUCUGCUAAACCGUAAGGUGAUGUAUAGGGGCUGACGCCUGCCCGGUGCUGGAAGGUUAAGAGGAGUGGUUAGCUUCUGCGAAGCUACGAAUCGAAGCCCCAGUAAACGGCGGCCGUAACUAUAACGGUCCUAAGGUAGCGAAAUUCCUUGUCGGGUAAGUUCCGACCCGCACGAAAGGCGUAACGAUUUGGGCACUGUCUCAACGAGAGACUCGGUGAAAUCAUAGUACCUGUGAAGAUGCAGGUUACCCGCGACAGGACGGAAAGACCCCGUGGAGCUUUACUGUAGCCUGAUAUUGAAAUUCGGCACAGCUUGUACAGGAUAGGUAGGAGCCUUUGAAACGUGAGCGCUAGCUUACGUGGAGGCGCUGGUGGGAUACUACCCUAGCUGUGUUGGCUUUCUAACCCGCACCACUUAUCGUGGUGGGAGACAGUGUCA
This 1281-nucleotide ribosomal RNA is filed under the name Staphylococcus aureus M0591. RNAcentral describes it as "bacterial LSU rRNA". It matches the Rfam family "Bacterial large subunit ribosomal RNA", at positions 977 to 2259 of the family's 2925-position model. Lineage: Bacteria; Bacillati; Bacillota; Bacilli; Caryophanales; Staphylococcaceae. The record is from RNAcentral.